RNAcentral lists this ribosomal RNA (253 nucleotides) under uncultured bacterium. RNAcentral describes it as "partial 16S ribosomal RNA". It matches the Rfam family "Bacterial small subunit ribosomal RNA", at positions 524 to 776 of the family's 1533-position model. The record is from RNAcentral.
AACGUAGGACACAAGCGUUAUCCGGAGUUACUGGGCGUAAAGGGCGUGUAGGCGGACGUGUAAGUCUAUUCUGAAAGCUCCUGGCUAAACUGGGAGAGGCGAAUGGAGACUGCAUAUCUAGAGUGAGGAAGAGGAAAGUGGAAUUCCGCGUGUAGUGGUGAAAUUCGUAGAUAUUCGGAAGAACACCAGUGGCGAAGGCGACUUACUGGACGAUUGUUGACGCUGAGGUGCGAAAGCGUGGGGAGCAAACAGG